UACGAAGGGGGCUAGCGAUGUUCGGAAUUACUGGGCGUAAAUCGCACGUAGGCGGAUUAGUAAGUCAGGGGUGAAAUCCCGGGGCUCAACCUCGGAACUGCCUUUGAUACUGCUGAUCUCGAGUCCGGAAGAGGUGAGUGGAAUUCCGAGUGUAGAGGUGAAAUUCGUAGAUAUUAGGAAGAACACCAGUGGCGAAGGCGGCUCACUGGUCCGGUACUGACGCUAAGGUGCGAAAGCGUGGGGAGCAAACAGG
RNAcentral lists this ribosomal RNA (253 nucleotides) under uncultured bacterium. Its description in RNAcentral is "partial 16S ribosomal RNA". It matches the Rfam family "Bacterial small subunit ribosomal RNA", at positions 524 to 776 of the family's 1533-position model. The record is from RNAcentral.